UACGAAGGGGGCUAGCGUUGUUCGGAUUGACUGGGCGUAAAGGGUGCGCAGGCUGGUCAAUCAGUCAGGGGUGAAAUGCCGGGGCUAAACCUCGGAACUGCCUUUGAUACUGUGGAUCUUGAGUCCGGAAGAGGUGAGUGGAACUGCGAGUGUAGAGGUGAAAUUCGUAGAUAUUCGCAAGAACACCGGUGGCGAAGGCGGCUCACUGGUCCGGAACUGACGCUGAGGCACGACAGCGUGGGGAGCAAACAGG
RNAcentral lists this ribosomal RNA (253 nucleotides) under uncultured bacterium. RNAcentral describes it as "partial 16S ribosomal RNA". It matches the Rfam family "Bacterial small subunit ribosomal RNA", at positions 524 to 776 of the family's 1533-position model. The record is from RNAcentral.